RNAcentral lists this long non-coding RNA (216 nucleotides) under Trifolium pratense (red clover). RNAcentral describes it as "long non-coding RNA (TPRA_LNC008351)". Lineage: Eukaryota; Viridiplantae; Streptophyta; Magnoliopsida; Fabales; Fabaceae. The record is from RNAcentral.
UUCUUAAUUGAUUUUUGCCACGUGCAGCCACUCAUAAUGAAACAGCCUUGGUGCAACAUAAAUCAUGAUUGUGGUUUUCUAAUUCAUAUUUAUCAGGACUUAUCUUGAAGCACCUGAUAGCUUUAUGCUAUUGCCUAUACGUGACCCUUUGGAACAAGCUUUAUGCUAUUGCCUUUGUACCCACUUAAAUGACCCUUUGGAACAGUUAAUUUUUUC